This 64-nucleotide transfer RNA is filed under the name Copiocera sp. OR333. Its description in RNAcentral is "tRNA-Pro". Lineage: Eukaryota; Metazoa; Arthropoda; Insecta; Orthoptera; Acrididae. The record is from RNAcentral.
CAGGAAUUAGUUUAGUGUAAAAUAGUGGUUUUGGAGAUCAUUGAAAGGAUUUUUCUAUUCUUGA